UUAUAAAGCAGUCUUGAUGAUAAUAUGAAGCAUAUCUACACAUCCUCUAUAUUGUGUAUAUUCUCACCUAUUCAAUCCAGUUUUUUGUACAUCUUCUUUACAUAUAUCUCACUUCACAUGCUGAUCCUCCAUUUUCACUCACAUCCAUACUUCUUUUGUCUUCUUUAUAUUUCUCCAUUCUUUCAAUAGAUCAUCCUAGAAAUCACCAUAUAGUGAUCUGAGUCUCUCUCUGCACCUCUCAUAUUUUUCAAGAAUUCUUCUCUUUUCUCUUGUCUAUUCACAUUCCAUACAUACAAUCUCUAUUCAUACUUCUGUUUCCAUUCUCAUUAUCCUUUAUCUAGUCUAGUUUUAAAUCCAUAUUUGAUGGUCCAGUUUUCAUUUCUUUGAGUUUUGAAAAUCAUAGAUAAAAAUUUCAUCAUGUUGGUGAUCAGUUAAAGGAUAGUAUAGUCUGAUGGAGGGGCUUCCCUUGAUGAUUCCAGAUAAGAUUGGGCACCAUUUUAUCAGGCUCCUAAUAUCUGACAAAGUUAAACUAUCAACUGUCCAGAAAGAUCAUUGGAACAUGCAACCUCCCUGCCACAUAAAAGUAUGGCUCAAAGAGAGAGAAUUACCUGUAUAUGUAUAUAUGUAUAUAUAUAUAUAUAUAUUUAAUUAUAUUAUGGUCC
RNAcentral lists this long non-coding RNA (662 nucleotides) under Androctonus crassicauda. The record is from RNAcentral. Lineage: Eukaryota; Metazoa; Arthropoda; Arachnida; Scorpiones; Buthidae.